CAUCCCAUAACAAAAUCAAUCUGAGUUUUGUGAAAUCAAAACCAUUUUCAUUCAAAUAAAUAAAUAAUUCUCUAUGCCAUUCUCAAUCUCAAUCAAACCCUCCGCCGAACUUACACCCUUAAUCCCCAAAUUUCCUCCAAAUUUCCGAUUGUCUUCUCCCAAUUCCACCACUACCACCGCCACCGUCUCUAUGAGGGGCCUCAUCUCUAGCGCCAAACUCUUUGCCAACGCCGCCAUUAGGAACAAAAUUCCCUUGUUGUCGAACCCGUCGAUGAGGGCCACUCGUGCUUACAGUCUGAUUCCAAUGGUGAUAGAGCACUCUUCUCGCGGAGAGAGAGCUUACGAUAUCUUCUCCAGGCUUCUAAAGGAGCGAAUUGUUUGCAUCAAUGGUCCAAUUAACGAUGACACGGCUCAUGUCGUGGUUGCUCAGCUUCUCUUUCUCGAGUCUGAGAACCCUUCCAAACCCAUCUACAUGUACCUCAAUUCCCCCGGCGGCCAAGUCACUGCUGGUUCAGUAACCAUAAACCUCUGAUUUUUUUUUCUCUGUACUUUUUUUAAAAAUUUUUUAUGGGUUUCUUGAAAUUUUCUAGAUGAUCACAUUAUUCUGCUUGGAUUAUCUUAUAGUUAUGUUUGUGAGUGUGUCUUCAGUUUGACGGAUUAGUAAAUCUUAUAAUUUAUUAUUUCUGAUUUCUUGGAUCAAGAUAAGUAGUAGUUAAGUAUUUUGAUUGGAUUGGAUUGUAGUUGUUUUUUUGGAUGUAGUUGUGCUUUGCCUGCUUUAUAGUGCUCAAAGAAAAGAAUUGUAACGUUUGAUACUCUUGUCGUUGCCUAACUAUUAGCAAUAGAGAUACUUUGUGGAAAGUUUAUCAGGACUUUGAAAAAGAGGGGAAAAAAAAGCAGGGGCUGGUGAACAGGUAGAAGAUAUAAUUUGUGGAAAUAAUGUCUCAUUGAGUAAUUCAAAUUCAGAUUUUCAUUCAAGUGUGUGAUGAAAAGCAGUCAUUUUGUUUGUCGCAUGCUUCUGACUCAACAUACAUUCCUAUGACCAUUUUUCUCAAUGUCUUUAUUUUAUUUAUAUUUUUAAGCUUGGAUUUGCAACUUAAAACUAGUCUUGUUCAUCUGAUAAAAUUAUUAUUUAAUAUGAUUUCAGAUGGAAAUCAUAUAAUCCAUCUGCUUUUCUUUUUCGGUAAUUGUAACUUGGGGGUUAUGAGCUCCUGAAAUGCCACUAGACGCAUGCAAAUGCGGUUCACUGCUUUGUUAUAAUAGUUCUUGCCAUGUGAUAUUUAGAUUAUCAGGUAGUGGAAUAUCGCAUUAUGCCAUUUAGUCUAGUCCUAACUUUAUUUUAGCUUAACUAAUCAUCUUAAGCAUUUGAAGUUUCUGAUUUAGAUAAUUUGCUGAGGUACUAUUUGGGUGAUUAGCUUGACUAUGAUGUUAAUUGUUGAUUUUUUGUGCGUUUUAUGCAGGUCUUGCUAUUUAUGAUACAAUGCAGUAUAUAAGGUCUCCAAUCAAUACCAUCUGUUUAGGUCAAGCUGCAUCCAUGGCUUCUCUGCUUUUGGCUGCAGGCACCAAGGGUGAGAGGAAGUCACUUCCUAAUGCAACUAUUAUGAUUCACCAGCCAUCAGGUGGGUACAGUGGGCAGGCGAAGGACAUGACCAUUCACACCAAGCAGAUAGUUCGAGUUUGGGAUUCACUCAAUCAAUUAUACUCAAAGCAUACAGGGCAAUCAAUAGAUGUAAUUCAGAAGAAUAUGGAUAGAGAUUAUUUUAUGACCCCAGAAGAGGCAAAGGACUUUGGAAUUAUUGAUGAAGUGAUUGAUCAAAGGCCAAUGGCGCUUGUGACUGAUGCUGUUGGUGAUGAAGGUAAACAAAAGGAUUCCAAAUAGAAUUAGAGGGUGAGAUCCUAGUGGGAAAGUUUCCCUGUUUUGAAUUUUGCAUCGACUUUUCUUGAUCAAUCUAUCUGAUUACUAAAUAUCUGGAUUUUGUUGAUUACCAGACAUUAUGUCUGGUUGUUUAUGGGAUAUCAUGUUAUUUAUUUCCUUGCGGAAUUAAUAUUUCAUAGGGCUUGUUAUGCAUUUGGUGACUCGUCGUAUCGACUAUACCCAUUCAUCUUGCAUGGAAAUAUUAUGUAAGUCAUUAUGAAAUCAUUUCAUAUAUUCAUACAACUUUCUUUUUCUUUUGCAUGCUUGUGGAAUUUUACCCUUAAUUUCAGCAAUGGCAGAG
RNAcentral lists this unclassified non-coding RNA (2213 nucleotides) under Hevea brasiliensis (rubber tree). Lineage: Eukaryota; Viridiplantae; Streptophyta; Magnoliopsida; Malpighiales; Euphorbiaceae. The record is from RNAcentral.